RNAcentral lists this ribosomal RNA (631 nucleotides) under Escherichia coli. Its description in RNAcentral is "partial 23S ribosomal RNA". It matches the Rfam family "Bacterial large subunit ribosomal RNA", at positions 389 to 1021 of the family's 2925-position model. The record is from RNAcentral. Lineage: Bacteria; Pseudomonadati; Pseudomonadota; Gammaproteobacteria; Enterobacterales; Enterobacteriaceae.
UGCACAUAUUGUGAGCUCGAUGAGUAGGGCGGGACACGUGGUAUCCUGUCUGAAUAUGGGGGGACCAUCCUCCAAGGCUAAAUACUCCUGACUGACCGAUAGUGAACCAGUACCGUGAGGGAAAGGCGAAAAGAACCCCGGCGAGGGGAGUGAAAAAGAACCUGAAACCGUGUACGUACAAGCAGUGGGAGCCUCUUAAUGGGGUGACUGCGUACCUUUUGUAUAAUGGGUCAGCGACUUAUAUUCUGUAGCAAGGUUAACCGAAUAGGGGAGCCGAAGGGAAACCGAGUCUUAACUGGGCGUUAAGUUGCAGGGUAUAGACCCGAAACCCGGUGAUCUAGCCAUGGGCAGGUUGAAGGUUGGGUAACACUAACUGGAGGACCGAACCGACUAAUGUUGAAAAAUUAGCGGAUGACUUGUGGCUGGGGGUGAAAGGCCAAUCAAACCGGGAGAUAGCUGGUUCUCCCCGAAAGCUAUUUAGGUAGCGCCUCGUGAAUUCAUCUCCGGGGGUAGAGCACUGUUUCGGCAAGGGGGUCAUCCCGACUUACCAACCCGAUGCAAACUGCGAAUACCGGAGAAUGUUAUCACGGGAGACACACGGCGGGUGCUAACGUCCGUCGUGAAGAGGGAA